CAGCCGCCACGGUAAUACGGAGGGUGCAAGCGUUAAUCGGAAUUACUGGGCGUAAAGCGCACGCAGGCGGUUUGUUAAGUCAGAUGUGAAAUCCCCGAGCUUAACUUGGGAACUGCAUUUGAAACUGGCAAGCUAGAGUCUUGUAGAGGGGGGUAGAAUUCCAGGUGUAGCGGUGAAAUGCGUAGAGAUCUGGAGGAAUACCGGUGGCGAAGGCGGCCCCCUGGACAAAGACUGACGCUCAGGUGCGAAAGCGUGGGGAGCAAACAGGAUUAGAUACCCGCGUAGUCCCUGUCUCUUAUAC
RNAcentral lists this ribosomal RNA (301 nucleotides) under uncultured bacterium. Its description in RNAcentral is "partial 16S ribosomal RNA". It matches the Rfam family "Bacterial small subunit ribosomal RNA", at positions 509 to 807 of the family's 1533-position model. The record is from RNAcentral.